AUGGGGGGCUGCUACUCCGCCUACGCCUGCUCGCGGAAGCUGCGCGGCCGCCUCGGCAACCUCUCCUUCGUCCUCCCCGUCACCGAACGCGACGCCGCCGCCGCCUCCGGGGCCAGCACCAGCAGCGCCCGCGCGGGCUCGGACCGCUCCUCCAAGAAGAGCGACCACGGCAGCUCCAGGCGCAACAAUGGCGACGGCCCCGCCGGCGGCACCGAGGAGGAGGAGCUCGUGGCCAAGAUGACGUCCGCGGAGUUCGGGCGGCGCUACGUGCUGGGGAAGGAGCUCGGCCGCGGGGAGUUCGGGGUGACGCGCCGCUGCAAGGACGCCGCCACGGGCGAGGCGCUCGCGUGCAAGACCAUCCGGAGGCACCGCCGCCGGGGCGGCCGCGGGGCGAACCGCAAGGCCGCGGGUGGCGGGGGCGCGGAGGCCGCCGCGAGAGCCGCCGCCGCCGCCGCGGCGGCGCACGCGGCCGACGUGCGGCGGGAGGUGGCCAUCAUGCGGCGCAUGUCAGCCCGCGGUGGCUCGGCCGUUGUGCGGCUGCGAGAGGCCCGCGAGGACCAGGAAGGCUCCGUGCACCUCGUCAUGGAGCUCUGCGAGGGCGGCGAGCUCUUCGACCGCAUCGUCGCCCGCGGCCACUACUCCGAGCGAGCCGCUGCCAAGAUCUUCCGCACCAUCGUCAACGUCAUCCAGUUGUGCCAUUCGAACGGGGUGAUCCACCGUGAUCUCAAGCCGGAGAACUUCCUGUUCGCCAACAAAUCCGAGGACGCCCCCCUCAAGGUGAUCGACUUCGGCCUCUCGGUGUUCUUCAACCCCGGCGAUCGCUUCACGGAGGUGGUGGGGAGCGCCUACUACAUGGCCCCCGAGGUCCUCAAGCGCAACUACGGGCAGGAGGUGGACGUGUGGAGCGCCGGCGUCAUCCUCUACAUCCUCCUCUGCGGUGUGCCGCCCUUCUGGGGGGACAACGACGAGAAGAUCGCGCAGGCCAUCAUCCGCGGCGGCCUCGACUUCAACCGGGAGCCUUGGCCCAGGGUGUCCGGCAACGCCAAGGACCUCAUCAGGGGGAUGCUCGACCCCGACCCCGCCGCCCGGCUCACGGCCGCGCAAGUUCUUGAGCACCCGUGGCUGAAGAACGCGGAGACGGCGCCGAACGUGUCGCUGGGCGAGGCGGUGCGGUCUCGGCUGCAGCAGUUCUCGGCGAUGAACAAGUUCAAGAAGAAGGCGCUGGGCGUGGUGGCGCGGAACAUGCCGGUGGAGGAGCUGGACAAGUACGUGCAGAUGUUCCAUCUCAUGGACAAGGACAAGAACGGCAACCUGUCGCUGGAGGAGCUCGUGGAGGGCCUCCACAUCAACGGCCAGCGCGUGCCGGAGUCGGAGAUCAGGAUGCUGCUCGAGGCCGCGGACACGGACGGCAACGGGACGCUGGACUGCGACGAGUUCGUCACGGUGUCGCUGCACCUCAAGAAGAUGACCAACGAGAAGUACCUGGCGGCGGCGUUCCGCUACUUCGACAAGGACGGCAGCGGCUUCAUCGAGAUCGACGAGCUCCGGCAGGAGCUGGGACCCAACGAGCAGGCCAUCCUCGAGAUCAUCCGCGACGUCGACACCGACCGGGACGGACGCAUCAGCUACCAGGAGUUCGAGCUGAUGAUGAAGUCCGGGGCGGACUGGAGGAACGCGUCCCGCCAGUUCUCGCGAGCCAACUUCAGCACCCUCAGCCGGAAACUAUGCAAAGAAGAAACUUCCUCCUCGUGA
RNAcentral lists this ribosomal RNA (1752 nucleotides) under Triticum aestivum (bread wheat). RNAcentral describes it as "partial small subunit ribosomal RNA". Lineage: Eukaryota; Viridiplantae; Streptophyta; Magnoliopsida; Poales; Poaceae. The record is from RNAcentral.